RNAcentral lists this transfer RNA (72 nucleotides) under Stegodyphus mimosarum. It matches the Rfam family "tRNA". Rfam says of the family: Transfer RNA (tRNA) molecules are approximately 80 nucleotides in length. Their secondary structure includes four short double-helical elements and three loops (D, anti-codon, and T loops). Further hydrogen bonds mediate the characteristic L-shaped molecular structure. tRNAs have two regions of fundamental functional importance: the anti-codon, which is responsible for specific mRNA codon recognition, and the 3' end, to which the tRNAs corresponding amino acid is attached (by aminoacyl-tRNA synthetases). tRNAs cope with the degeneracy of the genetic code in two manners: having more than one tRNA (with a specific anti-codon) for a particular amino acid; and 'wobble' base-pairing, i.e. permitting non-standard base-pairing at the 3rd anti-codon position. Lineage: Eukaryota; Metazoa; Arthropoda; Arachnida; Araneae; Eresidae. The record is from Rfam by way of RNAcentral.
GCCUUCGUGGUGUAACGGUAGCGCACUAGGCGCGUAUUCGAAAGGUCUUGGGUUCGAGUCCCAGUGAGGGCA